CCCCGGCGCGCCGCGCGCCGUCCCCAGUCGCGCGGGAAAGCUUCCCAGAGGCGCCCAGAGGGAGGCGCGCGCGGGGCCCGGCGGGCCGCAUCCGGGGUCCCGCUGCCUCCCGCCCAGCGCACGGCCUCCCGCCUCGGCCGCUCGCCGCGCUCGCCACCCCUCGCGGUGACAGCCGGCGCCGCGGGACGCGUGCGCACCGCCCGCCCCCAGGCUGCAGCCGUCACCUAUCGCGGCUGGGCCCGGCUCGCCCGGCGAGCGCGCGCGCGCGCGCGCGGGUCCGUUGUCACUCCGGUCAGGUUCGGGUCCCGGCCCCCUGCCUCUAUGCCUGACGCCCCUCGGCGAGUCUUGCCCGGUUCCGAAUCCAACUAUUCAGAGGAGAAAAGGGAAGAUCGGAGAGGCCUGCCGGCUGCCAGCCCGCCAAUCAGGACGCGCGCGGGCGUUUUGAACACUGAGCAACAUGGAGCUGCGCUCCUCCGGUGGGAACCGCUCUGAAAGAAGACCCUCAGCGUGCACGGGGACCCGGGGCCUGCGCCCCGCUGCGGAUCGGCGACAAGACUGAGAGGCUCAAGCCUUGGACACUGCAUGGCUUCAAGUGUGCAGGCUAGACUCAGAACCAAUCGUUGGACUUGGGUGGUGCCAUCUUUCUGUUGUCCCAAAGAGCAGUCAUUUGGCAGCGAGUUAUCUUUUGCAGGUAUGUUAGAAUUGUUUCCUCCUGAAUUCCAAAACAGCCCUGCAGCCCCUUGCCUGCAGACACCCAGUACUCCCAAUGAACUCCAUCAUCAACACAGGAGUGUCACCAUCAAACUGAGGUUCUAGAAACAUGGAAGACGUUGUUCUUGAUUACUCUCCAGAGCCUGAAACUAAGAUGCUAUUGCUGAAAACACCAUGUACUCCAGUCGUAGAACAUGGGGGGGUAAUUACAUACUCAGCAAAACAACGAACUUGGACCCGAGGCUGUCAGUGAAAUCUGGUUUCUCUCAGCUUUUCAUGACCCACAGGCAGGAAGUUGUAGCAUUGCGGUCCACAUGAAGGCUUCACCCUUCUGAGAACGUGCUGGGCGUCUGCCUGAAAUGACUUCUCUCGGGAUGUCUUUGCAGUGCCAAGAGGCCAACUCUGACUUGCUGGUCCCCAGAUAGCAUGGUUCUUCAAGCAUUGCUGAGCUGAUCCCAGGCCUGUGACUGCAGCUGAAUGUCCAUGCUUCCAGUAUGAUUUAACAGCUAUCACAUGCUCAUCUGUCAAAGCUAGAAGUUAUUGUCACUAUACCUUAUUCAUGUGACAAACCGUAGCCCCUGAAAUGUGAUCCCAUAUGACUUCUUCAACCUUUAGUUCUUUUUUCAGGUAUUUUGUCACAGUGAUGAAAAAAGGAAUGAAUUUUACUCAACUUGAUCCAUACGGAACACUUAUAGUUCUUGAAUAAUGAAAGUUGAUUAUUGUAAACUUAAUUCAGCAGUGAUUUUUAUUGCAAGUACUGUAUCAGAUGUGGUUUGUUGUCAUUGUUGUUGUUUCUUGCUUGUUUUUCAGCAGAUUAAACACUUCCUGACACCUGGUAUAUAGCUAUUGAUCUAGCAAAUACUUGCCUGCUCCACUUAUGUCUGUAAAUCCUCCAGGAAGCAAUCUGUUUGCACCUGGAAAGGCCAGUAAUAUACCUUUAUUGUCCCACCUCAGGGCUAUUUUAGCUCUCCAGUCCUUUGCCAUAAGUUAGAUCUGAGGGGUAUCAAUCACAGGUCUCUUUCAUAAGGUUUCACACUGGUUUGCUACAUUGAUGAUAUUAUGCUGUUAAACCAAUCAUUUUGGAUUUGUUGAUGAAAUGUUUAUGUCACAGACCAUAGGAAGUAAGCCCAAUGACAGCAAUAAUAAAAAAAAACAGUGGCCUUCUAUAUCAGUAUAAUUCCUAGGCGUCCAGUAAUACAAGACAUGUAGCCGUAUCUUUAAAAGUUUUUUAAUUAAAAAUUUAUGUCUA
Mesocricetus auratus (golden hamster) is the source of this 1960-nucleotide long non-coding RNA. RefSeq lists it as uncharacterized. Lineage: Eukaryota; Metazoa; Chordata; Mammalia; Rodentia; Cricetidae. The record is from RefSeq and is a predicted model, not a curated record. The transcript is spliced from 7 exons.